Long non-coding RNA from Helianthus annuus (common sunflower), 1084 nucleotides. RefSeq lists it as uncharacterized. Lineage: Eukaryota; Viridiplantae; Streptophyta; Magnoliopsida; Asterales; Asteraceae. The record is from RefSeq and is a predicted model, not a curated record. The transcript has 5 exons.
UUUGUAGAGAAAACAGUAGUUUGUCAUUGGCCAAACAGUGGUUUGACUUUGGUCAAACAGUGGUUUGUCUUUGGUCAAGCAGACUUUUGAACCACUAAGAAUCAUAUUUUUGCAAACAGUGGUUUGACUUUGGUCAAACCAACUUUUUUUAAAAAUAGUGGUUUGGCUUUGGUCAAACAAUGGUUGCAUACUAAUGCUAUUUCCUUUCAUCAUGUUCUCUCAGUUACUUACCACCAUUCGUUAAUUUAAUUACAUCACAUGCAACUUAUAUAAGUUUUAAUUCUAAUCUUGAUUUCUUGGUGGAUAACAGUACCUAACUUUAAACUAGAAAUACUAGCAUUAAACUAAAAAUUACAAUAUCUAUACACUUAUCUAUACUUUCUAUCAAAAUAUGUUAUGCAUGGUUUUCUCAUUGGUGUUUGAAACCAGCUUGAUGCCUUUAGCCGUUUCACCUCAGUGGCAAGAGAAAGCCAGUGGUUUCUUCUCCUCUUCAGGGACAACUUCGGAUGUUCCGUAGAGAGUAUCGAUGCCAGAUAAAAAGACUAUUGAGUUGAUCAUGGAUAAGCUUCAAAAAAAAGAUAUUUAUGGAGUAUACGCUGAGUCGGUUGAUCCUGAGGAGCUUCCUGAUUAUCAUGAUGUGAUCAAGCAUCCAAUGGACUUUGCUACUAUCAAGAAGAAGCUUGCGAAAUGAUUGUAUUUAUCUUUGAAAGAAUUUGAGAUGUUUUUGAUUUACAGACUCAACAUCUGCUACUCAAAGGCUUGCCAAAGCCAAAGUCUGCCAAAAGAGAACAUCUGCUUGAAGGAAAAGUCUGUUGAUCCAAAGGUCUGCCAAAGUGAUCCUCUGCUGAUGAAGAGAAAGUCUGAAGAAGCAAAGGUCUGCUAUGGCUCAACAGUUGUUAAAAACCAACAGAUGAUAUUCAACAGAUGUUGCUCAACAGAGGCUAACAAUGUAACAGUGCUUAGGGUAAUAACAGAUGUUAGGAGUUUAUUAGGCUGUUUGAUUGUAAUUAAUGUUUGUUGAAAGUGAAGCUGUAUUGGAUGUAUUGAUUUUUUUCAAAAUAAAGAUUUUAAGUUUGUUAGUAUA